RNAcentral lists this ribosomal RNA (206 nucleotides) under uncultured bacterium. RNAcentral's name for it is "partial 16S ribosomal RNA". It matches the Rfam family "Bacterial small subunit ribosomal RNA", at positions 524 to 725 of the family's 1533-position model. The record is from RNAcentral.
UACGUAGGGUGCAAGCGUUGUCCGGAAUUAUUGGGCGUAAAGAGCUCGUAGGCGGUUUGUCGCGUCGAAUGUGAAAACCCGGGGCUCAACUCCGGGCCUGCAUUCGAUACGGGCAGACUAGAGUUCGGUAGGGGAGACUGGGAAUUCCUGGUGUAGCGGUGAAAUGCGGCAGAAUAUCAGGAGGAACACCGGUGGCGAAGGGCGGG